Molecule: ribosomal RNA, 483 nt
Filed under: Salmonella enterica
Lineage: Bacteria; Pseudomonadati; Pseudomonadota; Gammaproteobacteria; Enterobacterales; Enterobacteriaceae
Also listed under: 5 other names
Description: partial 23S ribosomal RNA
Rfam family: Bacterial large subunit ribosomal RNA
Source: RNAcentral
UAGACCCGAAACCCGGUGAUCUAGCCAUGGGCAGGUUGAAGGUUGGGUAACACUAACUGGAGGACCGAACCGACUAAUGUUGAAAAAUUAGCGGAUGACCUGUGGCUGGGGGUGAAAGGCCAAUCAAACCGGGAGAUAGCUGGUUCUCCCCGAAAGCUAUUUAGGUAGCGCCUCGUGAAUUCAUCUCCGGGGGUAGAGCACUGUUUCGGCUAGGGGGCCAUCCCGGCUUACCAACCCGAUGCAAACUGCGAAUACCGGAGAAUGUUAUCACGGGAGACACACGGCGGGUGCUAACGUCCGUCGUGAAGAGGGAAACAACCCAGACCGCCAGCUAAGGUCCCAAAGUCAUGGUUAAGUGGGAAACGAUGUGGGAAGGCCCAGACAGCCAGGAUGUUGGCUUAGAAGCAGCCAUCAUUUAAAGAAAGCGUAAUAGCUCACUGGUCGAGUCGGCCUGCGCGGAAGAUGUAACGGGGCUAAACCAUG